UAAAGCGCACGCAGGCGGUCUGUCMAGUCGGAUGUGAAAUCCCCGGGCUCAACCUGGGAACUGCAUUCGAAACUGGCAGGCUAGAGUCUUGUAGAGGGGGGUAGAAUUCCAGGUGUAGCGGUGAAAUGCGUAGAGAUCUGGAGGAAUACCGGUGGCGAAGGCGGCCCCCUGGACAAAGACUGACGCUCAGGUGCGAAAGCGKGGGGAGCAAACAGGAUUAGAUACCCUGGUAGUCCACGCCGUAAACGAUGUCGACUUGGAGGUUGUGCCCUUGAGGCGUGGCUUCCGGAGCUAACGCGUUAAGUCGACCGCCUGGGGAGUACGGCCGCAAGGUUAAAACUCAAAUGAAUUGACGGGGGCCCGCACAAGCGGUGGAGCAUGUGGUUUAAUUCGAUGCAACGCGAAGAACCUUACCUACUCUUGACAUCCAGAGAACUUWSCAGAGAUGSWUUGGUGCCUUCGGGAACUCUGAGACAGGUGCUGCAUGGCUGUCGUCAGCUCGUGUUGUGAAAUGUUGGGUUAAGUCCCGCAACGAGCGCAACCCUUAUCCUUUGUUGCCAGCGGUCCGGCCGGGAACUCAAAGGAGACUGCCAGUGAUAAACUGGAGGAAGGUGGGGAUGACGUCAAGUCAUCAUGGCCCUUACGAGUAGGGCUACACACGUGCUACAAUGGCGCAUACAAAGAGAAGCGACCUCGCGAGAGCAAGCGGACCUCAUAAAGUGCGUCGUAGUCCGGAUUGGAGUCUGCAACUCGACUCCAUGAAGUCGGAAUCGCUAGUAAUCGUAGAUCAGAAUGCUACGGUGAAUACGUUCCCGGGCCUUGUACACACCGCCCGUCACACCAUGGGAGUGGGUUGCAAAAGAAGUAGGUAGCUUAA
RNAcentral lists this ribosomal RNA (877 nucleotides) under Enterobacter sp. RNAcentral's name for it is "bacterial SSU rRNA". It matches the Rfam family "Bacterial small subunit ribosomal RNA", at positions 561 to 1438 of the family's 1533-position model. Lineage: Bacteria; Pseudomonadati; Pseudomonadota; Gammaproteobacteria; Enterobacterales; Enterobacteriaceae. The record is from RNAcentral.